This 461-nucleotide ribosomal RNA is filed under the name uncultured bacterium. RNAcentral's name for it is "partial 16S ribosomal RNA". It matches the Rfam family "Bacterial small subunit ribosomal RNA", at positions 338 to 795 of the family's 1533-position model. The record is from RNAcentral.
CCUACGGGGGGCAGCAGUGAGGAAUAUUGGUCAAUGGGCGAGAGCCUGAACCAGCCAAGUCGCGUGAAGGAUGACGGCCCUACGGGUUGUAAACUUCUUUUGUCAGGGAGCAAUUGAGUCCACGUGUGGUCUUAGCGAGAGUACCUGAAGAAAAAGCAUCGGCUAACUCCGUGCCAGCAGCCGCGGUAAUACGGAGGAUCCGAGCGUUAUCCGGAUUUAUUGGGUUUAAAGGGAGCGUAGAGGGGUUGUCAAGUCAGCUGUGAAAGUCUGGGGCUCAACCGUAAAAUUGCAAUUGAUAUUGGCGGUCUUGAGUACAGUAGAGGUAUGCGGAAUGCGUGGUGUAGCGGUGAAAUGCUUAGAUAUCACGAAGAACUCCGAUUGCGAAGGCAGCUUACUGAACUGCCACUGACGUUGAUGCUCGAAAGUGUGGGUAUCAAACAGGAUUAGAUACCCCAGUAGUC